GAGUUUGAUCAUGGCUCAGAUUGAACGCUGGCGGCAUGCCUUACACAUGCAAGUCGAACGGCAGCACGGGAGCUUGCUCCUGGUGGCGAGUGGCGAACGGGUGAGUAAUGCAUCGGAACGUAUCCUGGAGUGGGGGAUAACGUAGCGAAAGUUACGCUAAUACCGCAUAUUCUGUGAGCAGGAAAGCGGGGGACCUUCGGGCCUCGCGCUCUUGGAGCGGCCGAUGUCGGAUUAGCUAGUUGGUGAGGUAAAGGCUCACCAAGGCGACGAUCCGUAGCAGGUCUGAGAGGAUGAUCUGCCACACUGGAACUGAGACACGGUCCAGACUCCUACGGGAGGCAGCAGUGGGGAAUUUUGGACAAUGGGGGCAACCCUGAUCCAGCCAUGCCGCGUGAGUGAAGAAGGCCUCGG
Molecule: ribosomal RNA, 411 nt
Filed under: bacterium enrichment culture clone ALO1_GLFRUDD03F0RBX
Lineage: Bacteria
Also listed under: 50 other names
Description: bacterial SSU rRNA
Rfam family: Bacterial small subunit ribosomal RNA
Source: RNAcentral